GGAAGCUACUAAGAGCUUACGGUGGAUGCCUUGGCGCCAAGUGCCGAUGAAGGACGUGGGUCACUGCGAUAAGCCUCGGGGAGCCGUGAACAGGCGUUAUAUCCGGGGAUGUCCGAAUGGGGAAACCCGCCGCUGCGAACCAGCGGCAUCCUGCACUGAACACAUAGGUGCAUGGAGGGGAACCUGGGGAACUGAAACAUCUAAGUACCCAGAGGAAAAGAGAUUAUUCCCUGAGUAGUGGCGAGCGAAAGGGGAACAGCCCAAACCAUCCCGGCUUGCCGGGAUGGGGUUGUAGGGCCAGGCAUAUGGGAGUUACAAAACAAACUGUUAGCAGAAUGGUGUGGGAAAGCCAACCAGAGAGGGUAAUAGUCCCGUACGCGAAAACGGUUUGUCUCCCGUCUGGUACCUGAGUACUGCCGGGCACGCUAAUCCGGCAGGAAGCUGGGGAGUCCACUCUCCAAGGCUAAAUACACUUGGCGACCGAUAGUGAACAAGUACCGUGAGGGAAAGGUGAAAAGUACCCCGGUGAGGGGAGUGAAAUAGAACCUGAAACCGUAAGCUUACAAGCAGUCGAAGGGCUAAUGGUGGGUCGGUGCCCCGGUGAAAGCCGGGUGCGCGCCACUAGGCCUGACGGCGUGCCUCUUGGAGAAUGAGCCUGCGAGUUAAUCUUUGCGGCGAGGUUAAGGGAGUGACACCCGGAGCCGUAGCGAAAGCGAGUCUGAAUAGGGCGCCACAGUCGCAAGGAUUAGACCCGAAACCGGGUGAGCUACCCAUGGCCAGGGUGAAACGAGUCUAACCACUCGUGGAGGCCCGAACCUACUAACGUUGCAAAGUUAGGGGAUGAGCUGUGGGUAGAGGUGAUAUGCCAAACGAACUCGGAGAUAGCUGGUUCUCCCCGAAAUAGCUUUAGGGCUAGCGCCAUGCGUUCAGCACCGGAGGUAGAGCACUGAAUGGGCUAAGGGGCUUAUCGCUUACUGACCCCAAUCAAACUCCGAAUGCCGGUGUUCCACAGCAUGGUGGUCGGACUACGGGUGAUGAGAUUCGUGGUCGAAAGGGAAACAGCCCAGAUCAUCGGCUAAGGUCCCAAAAUUCCAACUAAGUGGGAAACGAUGUGGGGUUACUGAAACAACCAGGAGGUUGGCUUAGAAGCAGCCACCCUUUAAAGAGUGCGUAAUAGCUCACUGGUCUAGUGAUCCUGCGCGGAAAACUUAACGGGGCUAAGUUGGAUACCGAAGCCAUGGGCUUCAGCGUUAGCUGGAGCGGUAGGGGAGCGUUCUGUUCGCGGUGAAGGUUGACCGUGAGGACAGCUGGAGCGGACAGAAGUGAGAAUGCAGGCAUGAGUAGCGUAAAACACGUGAGAACCGUGUUCGCCGUAUGUCUAAGGUUUCCGACGCCAGGUCAAUCCGCGUCGGGUUAGUCGGGCCCUUAGCCGAGGCCGAAAGGCGUAGGCGAUGGACAGCCGGUCAACAUUCCGGCACCGCUUAAGAGGAGUGAUGGAGGGACGCAGCGAGGUAGGCCAGCCUGUGAUUGGUCGUGCAGGUGCAUGGUGUGUCAGGCGUUGAGGUUUGUAGGAAAAUCCGCAAACUGAGCUGAGACACCGUGGCGAGCCUCCAAGGCAUAAGUGAGCUGAGCCUUGCUGCCGAGAAAAGCUUCUAAACGUUGAAUCUUAAGCGCCCGUACCGCAAACCGACACUGGUAGACGGGUAGAAUAUACCAAGGCGAACGGGAGAACCCUCGUUAAGGAACUAGGCAAAUUAGCCCCGUAACUUCGGGAGAAGGGGUGCCUUUCGACGUGAAUGAAUAAUGAGCGUUGAGAGGUCGCAGUGAAAGGGUCCUAGUGACUGGUUACCAAAACCACAGGUCUCUGCAAAGCCGAAAGGCGAUGUAUAGGGGCUGACGCCUGCCCAGUGCCGGAAGGUUAAGGGGAGGGGUUAGCGCAAGCGAAGCUCUGAACCGAAGCCCCGGUGAACGGCGGCCGUAACUAUAACGGUCCUAAGGUUCUUGACGCGAGCCUUAGUAAAACCGAACUAUAUGCGGGAAACUCCUCAUACAGCCACGCAGUACUCGCCUGAACACGGUUCGGGCAGUAAAAAUCUGCUGGACACGGGGACAAUCCGCAGGAAAGGCUUCCAGAAAGGAAAACUUGAAUGGAAGAAUCCUCAGAGACUUUACGUUCGGUCUCGCAAUCGAGACUGGAAGCGCAGUGGGUGGUUGGUUUCGUAGAUGGUGAGGGAUGCUUUUAUGUGGGUAUCAACUCGCAUCCAGAGAUGAAAGCCGGUUUUCAGGUUUUACCGGAAUUCACGGUGGUGCAGCACGAACGAGAUGUUCAGUUGUUGCAUGCGUUGAAGCAGUUCUUUGGAUGUGGAGUGGUACGCCGCAAUCACGGAGAUCGGAUGGCUUAUCGGGUGCGAAAUAUCCAGCACCUGCGGGAACGGAUUAUCCCGUUCUUUGAAAAGCAUCCGCUCAAAUCCAAAAAGCAGGUGGAUUUUAUGAAGUUUCGUAAAAUCCUGCUCUUGAUGGAGCGUGGGGAACAUCUCAAACCGGAAGGAAUCGAACAAAUCCGCGAAAUUGCUUCCAAAAUGAACACUCAGCGAGAAAGAUAAAGUCCGGCUCCUCUGGAAACAGAGUGAGGUCAACCGAGCGAAAUUCCUUGUCGGGUAAGUUCCGACCCGCACGAACGGCGUAACAACUAGGACACUGUCUCAACGAGGGACCCGGCGAAAUUGAAAUGGCUGUGAAGAUGCGGCCUACCCGCAGCAGGACAAAAAGACCCCGUGGAGCUUUACUGCAUCCUGGCAUUGAGUUUGGGCAUCGUCUGUGUAGGAUAGGUGGGAGUCUGAGAAGCUGGGG
RNAcentral lists this ribosomal RNA (2850 nucleotides) under Bellilinea caldifistulae. RNAcentral describes it as "bacterial LSU rRNA". It matches the Rfam family "Bacterial large subunit ribosomal RNA", at positions 1 to 2168 of the family's 2925-position model. Lineage: Bacteria; Bacillati; Chloroflexota; Anaerolineae; Anaerolineales; Anaerolineaceae. The record is from RNAcentral.